GCACUGCUGAGACGUCCCAUAAUAGAACGAAACGGCCGUCCAGUGC
Non-coding RNA from Schistosoma mansoni, 46 nucleotides. The record is from Rfam. NCBI's taxonomy places the organism in Eukaryota, Metazoa, Platyhelminthes, Trematoda, Strigeidida, Schistosomatidae.